RNAcentral lists this non-coding RNA (765 nucleotides) under Pan troglodytes (chimpanzee). Lineage: Eukaryota; Metazoa; Chordata; Mammalia; Primates; Hominidae. The record is from RNAcentral.
CUGGCAUUGGGGUUGGUGUGACUCCGAUGGCCAGCUGGGCAGCUCUUUCCACGAUGGCUUUGCGGUUCUUGGAGGAAACAUCUCAGCACAAUUAUAAAAACUUCCUCUCUAAUCAAGGCUUUUAACAUGAACAGAUUUCUUGAAUAAAAUGGAAAGUUUCCAGUACACUGAAACAUAAAUCCUCAAGUUGUCAUACGUACAACACCCGGCAGGAAAAAACAAAAACAGCAAGUUUACAUGAUCCCUGUAACAGCCACAGUCUCAAACUCAGAUGCUUCCUCCAUCUGCCAAGUGUAUUCUGGAUACAGACAACAUCGUGGCUUCUGGGGUCAUAUUCAGCUGAGGCUGUGGGUCCACACAGCACUCAUCUGGCUGGGCUAUGGUGGUGGUGGCUCUACCCAAGAAGCAAAGCAGUUACCAGCACAUUGAAACAGUGCAUUGAACAUCUUCUAAAUAUGAAAGUGAGAAACAAGAAGGCAACAUAAAAUGUUGUCAGAAAGAUGUUAGAAGUAAGGACAGCUGUGUAAAGCUUGAGGCUGAAAAGCAGCUUGCCAGCUUCAUUUCUUUGGCUUCUUGGGUAGUGGGCACCGGAACAGCAAAAUGUGAGGUUCUGGUUCAUGGAUCAUAUAAUAGACCCAUCCCUGACUCUGCUGAACGCCAAGAUUCCUCCAUUCAGAUUCAGACAUCAAAUGGGUUUUACGGACCAGCUUGGCUAUGUCCUUGGGCAGCACGACAUGUCGAUACUCAAACUCCUCGUCGUCGUAU